UUCGGAAUGUAUGUCGCUAACCAGGACAUCAUCUCCACCUCAAAACUGUCUGAGCCAGGAUGCCAUCUAAGCUUGUGAAUAUAGGGGCUAACGAACCAAUGAAGGGCAGCAGUUGUUGAGGCACUCAAGAAUAUCACUGAAGACGCAACUGCACCCUUCAAGAUGACGUUCAUAUCUGGAGAUGUCAUAAAGGUUAUGACAGGACCCAAGGAUACAGAGAGACAGCAUGUUGAAAGAGACAAUAGUUUUACUUUCUUGAUGGUCGAUGAGAUCGGACCAUAAUAAACCACCCCAGUCUCUUUCUCAUCCUCUCCAGCUUCUUUCCCAUUGCGUGGUCCAAUGCUGAUCCUACUUUCAUCUUCUGUUGUCCUAGCUUGAGAUGCCCAUCUUUUCUGAGAAGCCGCAAUCUGGAUAGGACUACUAAAGUCACGUUUGGCACUCCAAAUGUGAGACCUUGUGCCAAACCUACAAGGAUGGUAGCCUGAGAAGACGGUACUUGUGGAUGCGAGGGUUUUGGUUUGAGAUCGAAGCAAGUGGAGAAGGGCCGCUCUAGCCAUUGCUCUUUUCAGUUUCAG
RNAcentral lists this unclassified non-coding RNA (575 nucleotides) under Hevea brasiliensis (rubber tree). Lineage: Eukaryota; Viridiplantae; Streptophyta; Magnoliopsida; Malpighiales; Euphorbiaceae. The record is from RNAcentral.